RNAcentral lists this long non-coding RNA (1327 nucleotides) under Equus caballus (horse). RNAcentral describes it as "lncRNA (ENSECAG00000044926.1)". The record is from RNAcentral. Lineage: Eukaryota; Metazoa; Chordata; Mammalia; Perissodactyla; Equidae.
GCUAACUUAGAUUGGCUGAAAGUGGUUGCCUGAGUGCUGUGUUAAGAAGGAUUCCGAGGCCAUGUCUGGGCUCAAGGAGAAAAUAUUGCAAUGGAUCAACUGUAGCUGCCAAGAUUUCCUCGGGGAACCUCAACAGCCCUUCCCUUCUGUCAUGAAGAGCAAUCCAGUUCUUUCCCAGCUCCUACCUCCCAGUUCAUCCUGAGACUCCUGGACGAGAGCCGGGCCGAAUGCCGGGGAUAAAGAAACACUGAAGCAUUGCCUGGGCUCCAAAUUCCAGGAAAUAUUCUACAGAGCUACAAAAGGAUGGCGAGGGGAUUCAAGUCGAACUGGAGAGUAACUAUGGAGGCUUGAGGCCCUGCAAGCCACAUGUGAGUGGGGAACGGGGUGUUCCCUACACCAACAAGCAAUUCUCCGACGCCAGCUGGUUGUCCUACAGUUCAACUCAGUUCUGACACUAUCCGCUGGAGACAGCCUCAGAUUCCACAGGUUAAGGGUUCGGUCCCACAGGACUGCCCUCCGCUUCAGAUGCCAAUCGAGGCUGCGCCGUGCUAUGCAGCAGCUCGGGAUGGACUGCUGGAUGACAAGAGCCACAGGGAGAAGGAGAGGUCUUGUGGAGGGGCCUGAGGUGUCAGAUUCUUUCUGGAACCUUCCCAUCCAGCCCAGCCUCAAUCGGAAUGCAGUGGGGUGAAGUACAAUGUGGUCAGCAGCCUCUCAGCUGGUCCCAGUGAUGCCCUUCUCCUGGUAUCCGUGCCUGUGCGCAAUCCCUCUUCUUGAGAAGGGCCGCAGUGACUCAUCAUAAUGAAUACAAUACAGCAGAGGUCGUGGUAUGUCACUUCUGAGGACAGGCUAUGAAAAGACGGUGACUUCCAUCUUGGGUGACCUCCCUCAUUCACUUGCUCUGAGGAAAGCCAGCUGCCCUGUUGUGAGCAGCCCUGUGGAGAGAUCCACAUGGUGUGGAACAGAGGGAAGCCUUUGGCCGAUAGCCAGAAAAGAACUGAGGGCUUCAGUCCGACAGCCCAAAAGGAACGGAAUCUUGUCAAUAACCUCAUGAGUGAUCUUGGAAGCAGAGCCUCCCUCAGUCAAGUCUUCAGGUGAGAUCACCACCCUGGCUGACCCCUUGACAGCAAGCCCCAGGAGAGACCCUGUGCCAGAGAACCCAGUUAGACUGCGCCUGGAUUCCUCACCCACAGAAACAGCAAGACAAUAAAUGUUCAUCGCUUCAGAAAGCUAAAUUUUAGGGGCGAUUUCUUUAUGCAGCAAGUGAUAACUAAUAUCCACAUUGAUUGCUUUUUGAAUGUGAAAUAAAUAUUGCAUUCUUGAAAUAAAC